CCGAGUUCGUGCCCCGCUGCGGGGUAGAUCUCCCACCCUUGUGUAUCUUCGUACCUUUUCGUUGCUUUGGCGGGCCGCUCAGGCUUCGGCCUGGCCACCGGCUCCCCUGAAGGGGGCGGGUGCGCGCCUGCCAGAGGACCCCUCCAACUCUGUUUGUCAGUGUCGUCUGAGUACUAUAACCAAUCGUUA
This 189-nucleotide unclassified non-coding RNA is filed under the name uncultured Scytalidium. RNAcentral describes it as "sequence contains ITS1". The record is from RNAcentral. Lineage: Eukaryota; Fungi; Ascomycota.